RNAcentral lists this ribosomal RNA (429 nucleotides) under Bacteroidota bacterium. RNAcentral describes it as "Bacteroidetes bacterium partial 16S ribosomal RNA". It matches the Rfam family "Bacterial small subunit ribosomal RNA", at positions 355 to 776 of the family's 1533-position model. The record is from RNAcentral. Lineage: Bacteria; Pseudomonadati; Bacteroidota.
UAGGGAAUCUUCGGCAAUGGGGGGAACCCUGACCGAGCAACGCCGCGUGAGUGAAGAAGGUUUUCGGAUCGUAAAGCUCUGUUGUUAAGGAAGAACGAGUGUGAGAAUGGAAAGUUCAUACUGUGACGGUACUUAACCAGAAAGGGACGGCUAACUACGUGCCAGCAGCCGCGGUAAUACGUAGGUCCCGAGCGUUGUCCGGAUUUAUUGGGCGUAAAGCGAGCGCAGGCGGUUAGAUAAGUCUGAAGUUAAAGGCAGUGGCUCAACCAUUGUAGGCUUUGGAAACUGUUUAACUUGAGUGCAGAAGGGGAGAGUGGAAUUCCAUGUGUAGCGGUGAAAUGCGUAGAUAUAUGGAGGAACACCGGUGGCGAAAGUGGCUCUCUGGUCUGUAACUGACGCUGAGGCUCGAAAGCGUGGGGAGCGAACAGG